AAAAAAUGGACGGUUUGCUGUAUGAAAAAUAAUGGAGUGAUAAAAAAGGAAGCACUGUUGGUUUUGAGAUUUAAAGAUAGAUAUAUCUUGAACUACUUCACAACUGGAAAGAGUUAAUUUUAUUUUGAAAAAUUGAGGUUCUAUUUUAUUAAACAUUUUGCGCUUUGUUUGGAAUUUUACUUAAUCUGUAAAUGCUGUGAGUUUCGGGCAUACAAAUCGUGUGCUAUUAAUCUGUAACAUAUAUGUUCUUGUUAGUCCAAAGAGAUCUAGGAAGCACAGUAGACCAGAAGCUGAGAGGCCACCUACCACAUCAUAUUUGUUCUUGUUAGUCCAAAGAGAUCUAGGAAGCACAGUAUACCAGAAGCUGAGAGGCCACCUACCACACACAAUUUAGAUGGUAGAAACAAUUCAGAACGAGAUCUAAAACAUCACCGCAGGCUGCAAGAUGCUGUGCCUCUUGAUGCUUCGUCAGCAC
This 475-nucleotide long non-coding RNA is filed under the name Nicotiana benthamiana. Its description in RNAcentral is "long non-coding RNA (NBEN_LNC010774)". Lineage: Eukaryota; Viridiplantae; Streptophyta; Magnoliopsida; Solanales; Solanaceae. The record is from RNAcentral.